Molecule: long non-coding RNA, 7719 nt
Filed under: Vigna radiata
Lineage: Eukaryota; Viridiplantae; Streptophyta; Magnoliopsida; Fabales; Fabaceae
Description: long non-coding RNA (VRAD_LNC005576)
Source: RNAcentral
ACAUCUUCAAUUAUAUUUUAAACUUUUAUGUACUCUUUUACUUGUGUUACCAAAAUAGUUUAUCAAAGUUGAUAAAUGAUAAGAAAAGACAAGUUAAGUUACCAGUCACCACCACCACCCACCAGCAUUCACCGUCGCGUCACCACUUGAGAGGUUUUGGAUUAGGGGUUGGGGGAGGUUGAGGAAGGGUUUUUGGUGGAAAACGAAAAUGGGAGGAGAGGGAAACCAGGUUCUAAUUUCAUAAAAUCGAAGAACUUACCAACGAUCAUUACUGAUGAUGUUUAUCGACGAUAUUACCGACGAAUAUAUCCAACAUAAGUAACCAAGUCCAUCAUCGACGGUCAUAGACCUGUUGGUAAGUACCCAUUCUGCACUCUGUUAGUAAAUCUGUCGGUAAAUGUAUUUUACCAACAGAUCAUUAACUAUUGAUAAUAAUCCGCUGGUAAUAUACUAUUUUCUUAUAGUGCAAGAGUUUUUGACCUAAGUGAUCAACCAAAAGUAGUUAACUUGAUGUGUUUGAUCAAGAGUAGUCGACCUGAGUGAUCAAUCAAGUUGAUGGUUGACUAUCUAGAUUGACCAAACGAACAUAGUAUACACUACUCUUACUAAUAAAAAAACAUAUGUUUCAAAUUUUUUAUUCAAUUAAAACUAAUUAAAAUUUGUAUUUUAUAAAUAAGCUUAUUUACUCAAAAUUUGACAAUAUACAUAGUCAAAUUAAAAGAAAAUUUUGAUUUGCUAAUUUUAAAUAUGUAUAAUUAAAAAAUAAUAAAACUAUGUUUCCACAUCCUAUUUUGUUUCAAAUAAUUGAAUUUUCAUACUAUCAAGAGGGGAUUCCAAUUUGCCUGUUAGGUUGUUCUUGACUUAGUAAUAGAGUGAAUGUAAACUAAGGAAUUAGUCAAUAGCUUUGAAAAUUGACUAUAAGAUUUUAUAUAUUUUUAAAUGCUUAUGCUUUAUAGUAAAUUUGGAUUUUGGGACAAAAUAAAAUAUGAUUUUUAAUUUAGCAAGUCAUAUGGUUAAUACGUAGUAAAAUUGGAAUUUCUUGCAUAAAACUGAAAUAUAAAACUAUGUACGUAUUAAUACAAUAAUUAACAAUAUUAAGAAACAUAAACAGAAGCAUAUGUUGAUAUGAAUUUGGUGGAAAAUUGGGAAGAAUUUGAAGUGUAGUUAAUGGUUAAUGAUGACUGACCACCAUUGCUAGGUCAAAAGUUGAAGAUCUAGUUUCUUUGUCAACAUAGGUUUUCUUUUAUUAGAUAGAUAAUCACUAAAAGAAGAAAUGUACCAUAUUUGUCCUCUUUCAUGUUAUCUUCUAUGUCUCCAUUCACAGCUUUUUCCACUUUGUUCACUAAAAGUAUUUUUAUUUUUGUUUAAAGGACAUUCUGAUUUUGCUGUUAACAAAAUGACAUAUGAAUUUCGCAUUCUCAUCAUUAACAUGUUUCCUUUUUCUUCCAAUUCUCCUAGAAAAUAAAUUAUUUGAUUGACAAGUUAUAGAAAAUUAAAGAGAAAAAUAACAAACUAAUCAAUAAAUAAGUUGGAAACGAAAACAUGAAAUACAAUAGUCAUGUUAUUGAUAACAAAAAUGAAACUUAAUAAAACGAAAAUGUCCAAUAGUAGUUAAUUAAAAAUAAUUAAAAUUAUACAAGAUUUAUCUUCUAAAUUAUUUUAUCAUAAAUUCUAUCAUCCUCUUUAAUAGUGUAAACUAUUAAAAGAAAUAUUAUAUAUUUUGAUAAUGAUUAAUAGAUAGAUAGGAAGUAUACAAAAUAUUAAUAUAGUUAUCAGAAAAAUAACAAUUUUAACAUAUUAUAUUGACAAGGUUACAAAAAAUUAAAUAAGUUUUUCAAAAGAUAAGAAACUCUUAUAUAAAAUAAUUAGUAAAAAAGUUCGUAAACAGUCACUUAGCAUCUUCUUCGGCUUUCACUAAUGGCAUGUCUAUACCUAACUCAUCUUUUAUUAAUACCAAUAAGUAGUUAUUACAAAAGAGAAACGUCACAAAAGGAAAAGAAGGAAUCAUAAACUAGUGUUUCAAAAGAAACAUCAUAAACAAUUUAAAAUAUAUAACAUAUUAACAAUUUGUAAAUAACAUAACUUAUAUGAAUAAUCAUAUAGAUAACUCUAUACUCAAUUAUUCAGAUAUAUGCUUUGACAUAGGGUUUCCCGGUAAGUAUUACUUGUAGUACUAUAAAGUUAUAAAUACAAAGGUUAUCACCCCACUACUCACGAGGUUAAUCUUUCACGCUUAAGACCAAAAGUCUAGGAUAAAGACCUUCUGCCAUUAUUUCCCUUACCUCAUUCAUCUUUACAUAAGUUGAAUGGUUAAUAGUAUAUCAUGAUAUUUCCUUUCUAAACUCACAUAUGUCAAGCCUACACUAACAAUCACUGGGACAUAAAAUUUCUCCUUGAAAUUCUCUCUAUAACCAAAUCACAGCAUAUCAAAAUUUUCAUAUAUAUAUAUAUAUAUAUCAUUAUACUCACCGACAACAUAAAAAUAGAUACAGAUCAAUACUAAAACAACCAAAGAAAUCAACCAAGAACCUGUAAUAUGAAUUGGCGCUCAAUGACAAGAAUGGAGCUCAACAUCAUUCUUCUUGCAAAACGGCUCACUCAACGAGAUUAUUCUAUCGCUCAGCGAGCUGGACUUAAAACGAUUUCAAACCUAUAGUAGAGAAUGAUGCUCAGUGGUGCCCUACCACCGCUCAACGCUAGACCAUUUGCAAAAAUGGUCGCUCAACGAGAAAAAAAGGGUGCUUAGUGGUUUAAAGCUAAAAUGCUUCCAGAAUUGAAAUGUCAAGCUAGCGCUUAACGCCACAUCAAUCCUACUUAACGCCAUAUCAAAAAAUUUCCACUUCAAAUAUGUGAUUUGGAAAACCAAGGACUUAUUCAGAUGAUCAAAUUGGUAUUCCUAACUUAGUGUUUGGUUUAAAAAUCAUUCUUAGUGUCAACUUGAUCAAAUGUCCAAAUCCUCAAUUUUUCAAUCACCAUUGCCCAAGUAUCACCAACACUCAAUUUAAGAAAUUAUACACACCAUACAAUUCAGCACAAAAACAACAAUUAUGUUUACAUAUCAAACUCAAUCAACAAUAUCCAACACAAGCACACUAAAGUAUCUAGCUUUCCUUACCUUACAUAUGACCAACAAGUUCUAGGAGUCCUAAAACAACUCUAAAAGCACAAAAUAAAUGUUAUUUUCUCUAAUGAACAACAAAAACAUGAUCAAGGCAUACCGUUAAAAUCAUUGAUCAACAUAGAAUCUUAUAGAAGACCCAUAUGUCACAUACAAGCUCAGGUAGCUCACAUGCAUGAAAAAAAUGCACAUACUAAGGAAAAAAAAUUAAAACAAAAAAACAACUUAUUAUUUUGCAAAAACUAAUUAGUUAAAGUAGAAGACAUCGCCUCAAGAAUCACUCAAGCGGUUUUUUAUAUCCAAAUAGGUUAACAAAAGUUUAAGAAACUUAAAGAGGGGGUAGAGAGCUCUUAAAGAAAGAAUUUUAAAGAGAAAGUGUGUUUUCAAGUAAUGAAACUUGUUAAUAGAAAUUACUUUUAUACAUUGAAAUUUUAAUAUUAAUAUAAUAAAGUUUCAUUAUUUAGCACACGUUAUCACCACUAAGACACUAUUUUCUAGACUCUUACAUAAAUUCCUAACAUAAAUCCCUAAUUAUUUUGAGUAGGAAAAUAAGGUUUUGAUAUUUUUAAAUAACAUAUAAAUAAAAGAUAAAUAAAUUAAUCUUAGAAAAUACAACACAAAUUAUUUAAAAUUUAAACAAAAAUAAAUAAAUUUAUUUGAUAAAGUCUAAAUCAACUAGUAUUUUUCUAGUAAGUUGAUUUCGUGUUUUUUUUUAAGUAAAACAUCUUAUUUGAUAUUUUUUUUCACUCAUAAUCUUUAGUUAGGGAUUGUUAUUUAGAACAUUUCAACUUUUUCAUUCUAUAAUUAUGUCAAUAAGAAGAUUCAAUAAGUUAUUUUUUAUAAUGUCCAUGUAAUAUAAGAUGUGUAAUAGACAACUCAAUAUUAAAGUUAGUGUGUCUUAGAAUGUAUAUAAAGCAAAGAAAAUACCCUCUUAAUCAAUUUUAAUCAAACUUUAAUUGAUUAGGUUUAUACAAAUUAAAACCUUAUUUCAUUUAAUCAAUUAAGCAAAAUAACAUAAUCAAUUAAUAGAUACUGAUUUCAUUUUCUGAGUUGUGCAAUGAAUGUUUUAAUCUCACUAAUAUAAUUGAUUAACAUUGACAAUUAGUUAGUUUUCCUUUAAAUCUUGCAUCUUCUCUCAUUUCAAGAUAAUACUUUGUGAUUCUAAAAUUAAGAGAACAUGUGUGAAAAAGUUUUGAGUAUUCCAUCUUUGCAGAAAACAUUUUUAUUUAUAAAGAUCGAAGGGCUUUACUCUUGGCUAUAGGUUUGAAUUGUAAAAUCUUCAAUUUAGCCGAUAUCUUUCUUGUAUUCUUGUUAUGUAAUUUCAUUCUUUCUAUUGUAAUUCACAUUUAUGUAGAAAGAAUUUUAGAGAAAUAAUGUGUUUUCAAGUAAUGAAACUUGUUAAUAGAAACUACUUUUAUACGUUGAACUUUUAAUAUUAAUAUAAUAAAGUUUCAUUAUUUAAAACACGAUAUCACAACUAAGACAUUGUUUUCUAGACUCUUACAUAAAUCCCUAAUUAUAAGGUUUUGAUAUUUUUAGAUAACUCAUAAAUAUAAGAUAAAUAAAAUUAAUCUUAGAAAAUAAAAUACAAAUGAUUUAAAAUUUAAAUAAAAAUGAAUUAAUUUAUUUGAUAAAGUCUAAAUCAAUUAGUAUUUUUCUAGUAACUUCAUUUCGUGUUUUUUUAAGUAAAACAUCUUAUUUUAUAUUUUUUUUUUCAUUCAUAAUCUUUAGUUAUGGAUUAUUAUUUAGAACAUAAGAUAUCAUUUCUACUUUUUCAUUCCCUUUACACACUCACUCUCCCUACACACACAGACACACACGCACACAGACACACACAGACAGGACAGACACAUAGACACACAAACACACACAGACACAGACAGACACACACACAUACACACACACAGAGACAAACACACACACACACACACACAGAAACACACACAUACGCACAUAGAGACACACACAUCUCAAUUAGUUAUUUUUUAUGAUGUCCAUGUAAUAUAACACACACAUACACUUUGUCAAUAAGAAGAUUUAAUUAGUUAUUUUUUAUGAUGUCCAUUUAAUAUAAGAUGUGUAAUAGAUAGAUCAACACUAAUGUUAGUGUGUCUUAAAAUGUAUAUAAAGCAAAGAAAAUACCCUCUUGAUCAAUUUUAAUCAAACUUUAAUUGAUUAGGUUAAUACGAAUUAAAACCUUAUUUCAUUUUUGUUUUAAUGGGUUAGAACAUAAUUCAUUAUGUCAUUAAUCGAUUAAGUAAAUAACAUAAUCGAUUAAUAGAUAUUGGUUUCAUUUUCUAAGUUGUGCAAUGAAUGUUUUAAUCUCACUAAUAUAAUAUAUUAAUAUUGAAAACUAGUUAGUUUUCCUUUAAAUCUUGCAUGUUCUCUCGUUUCAAGAUAAUACUUUGUGAUUCUAAAAUCAAGAGAACAUGUGUGAGAGAGUUUUGAGCAUCACAUCCUUGCAGAAAAUAUUUUUAUUUAAGAAGAUUAAAGAUUGAAGGGCUUUACUCUUGGAUAUAUGUUUGAAUUGUAAAAUCUUCAAUUUAGGCGAUAUCUUUCUUGUAUCCUUGUUAUGUAAUUUCAUUCUUUCUACUGUAAUUCACCUUUAUGUAGAAGGUUAUGGUGAUAGUGUGAAGCAUAAACCAUUCUUGCGUUUCUUGGAAGGAUUAUUUAAGGUUUUGUUUAAGUCUUGAUUUUAGAAUUAUAUAAGUGCAUUUGUAAUAUGAAACUUUUGAUCUUUAAUGGAAUUUCUAGCUCCGGUAGCUAGAAAAAUUAGAUGUAGAUUUGUUAUAAUUAGACCAAUAUAGUUCUCUUGAAAUGUUGUUAUUAUGUCAAUAAGAAGAUUCAAUUAGUUGUUUUUUUAAUGUCCAUGUAAUAUAAGAGGUGUAAUAGUUAGAUCAAAAUUAAUGUUAGUGUGUGUCUUAGAAUGUAUGUAAAGCCAAGAAAAAAAAAUCCUCUUAAUCAAUUUUGAUCAAUUAGGUUAAUAUAAAUUGAAACUUUGUUUCAUUUAUGUAUUAAUUGAUUAAAUAUAGACAUAAUCAGUUUAAGUUAUUAUUUUAUCGAUUAAGUAAUAACAUAAUAUUAAUACAUAUUUCAUUUUCUGAAUUUUGUAAAAAAACGUCUUAAUUGAUUAAGUCGCUAAAAUAUUCAGUUCAAUACAUGCUAUUCUACAAUUAAAUGUAGAUUAUUAUCGGUGUCUUAUCGAAUGGUCAAUUGCAUUUGGAUGAUAUAAUGUUGUAUAUUGGGUGGUUUGAUUUGGUGAGUUGUUUGAGAUUAUAAAUUGUUAAAGGGAGUUACUCCCUGUACCUCCCCAAUUGUCUCCCCCACCUCCCCCUUCCAUUUUUAUCCUUCCUCUAUUUUUUCUAUUCCUAUUUUAUCCUUUACUAAAAAUUUAUAUUUAGAAAUCAAAUUUUAUGAUUUUGUUCCCUCACCCCCAACCUAUUUAUUCUCUUUUUAUUUUUAUACUUUCAUCUUUACUCUUUCUUCUCCUAGAAAUUUUUUCUCCUAUUUUUUCUAAAAAUUCUUUCUCCUACUAUUUUUGUUAAUUACGUAAGAAAUUAUUUGAAAAUAAAAAGUUAAAAUUAAAUUACUUAAUAACAUAAUUAAAGAUCAUAUUAUAAAAUAACAUUAAAUUUAAAUUCUUUAUAAAUUAAUUAAAAAUACAAUAACUAAUAAAAUAAAAAAAAUAAAAUAAAAUAAUUAACUAAGAAAUUAUUUGAAAAUAAAAAGUUAAAAUUAAAUUACUUAAUAAUAUAAUUAAGGGUUAAAUAUGUUUUUCGUCCCCCAACUAUUGGUCGUUUUUGUGUUUAGUCCCUCUUUCAAACUAUAAUACAAUUUAGUCCUUCAACUUUAGAAAACUAUGGUUUUAGUCUUUUUUACCAAAUAUUUUAAACUUUAUUUGCUGUUUCAAGCACGUUACAUUAUAGCAUUUGGAUUGUUUACACUGUUUGACACAUUUUUGCUUCAAUGUUAACUGAGAAAAGCACGUUACAUUAUAGCAUUUGGAUUGUUUACACUGUUUGACACAUUUUUGCUUCAAUGUUAACUAAGAAAUGCGUUUGAAACAACAAAUAAAGUUAAAAAAAUUUGGUAAAAAGGACUAAAACCAAAAUUUUCUAAAGUUGAAGGGCUAAAUUGUACUAUAGUUUGAAAGAGGGACUAAACAAAAAAACGGCCAAUAGUUAGGGGACGAAAAACAUAUUUAACCCUAUAAUUAAAGAUAUAUAUUAUAAAAUAACACUACAUUUAAAUACUCUAUAAAUUAAUUAAAAAUACAAUACACUAAUAAAAUAUAAAAAAAUAAAAUAAAUUAAUUACAAAAGAAAUUAUUUGAAAAUUAAAAAGUUAAAAUUAAAUUACUUAAUAAAAUAAACUAAAAACUAAACUUAAAAAAAAAAAUAGCCCCAGACGGAUGUGGAGAUCCGUCGACGGAUGUCGACAUCCGUUAUAGCCUGAAAUGUUGUUGUCUUCACAAGCACACAGCAGUUAUGUCGUCUUUGCAGGCACACAACAGCCACACAACAAUCACAACCACACAGCGAUAAUCGAAGAAUACUAAAAAAUUAAAAAAACGAACCUGGAAGGAAGAUCCCGCACGGCAC